AACGAACGCUGGCGGCAUGCCUAACACAUGCAAGUCGAACGAGACCUUCGGGUCUAGUGGCGCACGGGUGCGUAACGCGUGGGAACCUGCCCUUAGGUUCGGAAUAACUCCCCGAAAGGGGUGCUAAUACCGGAUCAUGUCUUCGGACCAAAGAUUUAUCGCCUUUGGAUGGGCCCGCGUUGGAUUAGCUAGUUGGUAGGGUAAAAGCCUACCAAGGCGACGAUCCAUAGCUGGUCUGAGAGGAUGAUCAGCCACACUGGGACUGAGACACGGCCCAGACUCCUACGGGAGGCAGCAGUGGGGAAUAUUGGACAGUGGGCGAAAGGCUGAUCCAGCAAUGCCGCGUGAGUGAUGAAGGCCUUAGGGUUGUAAAGCUCUUUUACCCGGGAUGAUAAUGACAGUACCGGGAGAAUAAGCUCCGGCUAACUCCGUG
RNAcentral lists this ribosomal RNA (433 nucleotides) under uncultured bacterium. Its description in RNAcentral is "partial 16S ribosomal RNA". It matches the Rfam family "Bacterial small subunit ribosomal RNA", at positions 29 to 507 of the family's 1533-position model. The record is from RNAcentral.